This 2929-nucleotide ribosomal RNA is filed under the name Escherichia coli. Its description in RNAcentral is "bacterial LSU rRNA". It matches the Rfam family "Bacterial large subunit ribosomal RNA". Lineage: Bacteria; Pseudomonadati; Pseudomonadota; Gammaproteobacteria; Enterobacterales; Enterobacteriaceae. The record is from RNAcentral.
GGGUUGUGAGGUUAAGCGACUAAGCGUACACGGUGGAUGCCCUGGCAGUCAGAGGCGAUGAAGGACGUGCUAAUCUGCGAUAAGCGUCGGUAAGGUGAUAUGAACCGUUAUAACCGGCGAUUUCCGAAUGGGGAAACCCAGUGUGUUUCGACACACUAUCAUUAACUGAAUCCAUAGGUUAAUGAGGCGAACCGGGGGAACUGAAACAUCUAAGUACCCCGAGGAAAAGAAAUCAACCGAGAUUCCCCCAGUAGCGGCGAGCGAACGGGGAGCAGCCCAGAGCCUGAAUCAGUGUGUGUGUUAGUGGAAGCGUCUGGAAAGGCGCGCGAUACAGGGUGACAGCCCCGUACACAAAAAUGCACAUACUGUGAGCUCGAUGAGUAGGGCGGGACACGUGGUAUCCUGUCUGAAUAUGGGGGGACCAUCCUCCAAGGCUAAAUACUCCUGACUGACCGAUAGUGAACCAGUACCGUGAGGGAAAGGCGAAAAGAACCCCGGCGAGGGGAGUGAAAAAGAACCUGAAACCGUGUACGUACAAGCAGUGGGAGCCUCUUUUAUGGGGUGACUGCGUACCUUUUGUAUAAUGGGUCAGCGACUUAUAUUCUGUAGCAAGGUUAACCGAAUAGGGGAGCCGAAGGGAAACCGAGUCUUAACCGGGCGUUAAGUUGCAGGGUAUAGACCCGAAACCCGGUGAUCUAGCCAUGGGCAGGUUGAAGGUUGGGUAACACUAACUGGAGGACCGAACCGACUAAUGUUGAAAAAUUAGCGGAUGACUUGUGGCUGGGGGUGAAAGGCCAAUCAAACCGGGAGAUAGCUGGUUCUCCCCGAAAGCUAUUUAGGUAGCGCCUCGUGAAUUCAUCUCCGGGGGUAGAGCACUGUUUCGGCAAGGGGGUCAUCCCGACUUACCAACCCGAUGCAAACUGCGAAUACCGGAGAAUGUUAUCACGGGAGACACACGGCGGGUGCUAACGUCCGUCGUGAAGAGGGAAACAACCCAGACCGCCAGCUAAGGUCCCAAAGUCAUGGUUAAGUGGGAAACGAUGUGGGAAGGCCCAGACAGCCAGGAUGUUGGCUUAGAAGCAGCCAUCAUUUAAAGAAAGCGUAAUAGCUCACUGGUCGAGUCGGCCUGCGCGGAAGAUGUAACGGGGCUAAACCAUGCACCGAAGCUGCGGCAGCGACACUGUGUGUUGUUGGGUAGGGGAGCGUUCUGUAAGCCUGUGAAGGUGUACUGUGAGGUAUGCUGGAGGUAUCAGAAGUGCGAAUGCUGACAUAAGUAACGAUAAAGCGGGUGAAAAGCCCGCUCGCCGGAAGACCAAGGGUUCCUGUCCAACGUUAAUCGGGGCAGGGUGAGUCGACCCCUAAGGCGAGGCCGAAAGGCGUAGUCGAUGGGAAACAGGUUAAUAUUCCUGUACUUGGUGUUACUGCGAAGGGGGACGGAGAAGGCUAUGUUGGCCGGGCGACGGUUGUCCCGGUUUAAGCGUGUAGGCUGGUUUUCCAGGCAAAUCCGGAAAAUCAAGGCUGAGGCGUGAUGACGAGGCACUACGGUGCUGAAGCAACAAAUGCCCUGCUUCCAGGAAAAGCCUCUAAGCAUCAGGUAACAUCAAAUCGUACCCCAAACCGACACAGGUGGUCAGGUAGAGAAUACCAAGGCGCUUGAGAGAACUCGGGUGAAGGAACUAGGCAAAAUGGUGCCGUAACUUCGGGAGAAGGCACGCUGAUAUGUAGGUGAAGUCCCUCGCGGAUGGAGCUGAAAUCAGUCGAAGAUACCAGCUGGCUGCAACUGUUUAUUAAAAACACAGCACUGUGCAAACACGAAAGUGGACGUAUACGGUGUGACGCCUGCCCGGUGCCGGAAGGUUAAUUGAUGGGGUCAGCGCAAGCGAAGCUCUUGAUCGAAGCCCCGGUAAACGGCGGCCGUAACUAUAACGGUCCUAAGGUAGCGAAAUUCCUUGUCGGGUAAGUUCCGACCUGCACGAAUGGCGUAAUGAUGGCCAGGCUGUCUCCACCCGAGACUCAGUGAAAUUGAACUCGCUGUGAAGAUGCAGUGUACCCGCGGCAAGACGGAAAGACCCCGUGAACCUUUACUAUAGCUUGACACUGAACAUUGAGCCUUGAUGUGUAGGAUAGGUGGGAGGCUUUGAAGUGUGGACGCCAGUCUGCAUGGAGCCGACCUUGAAAUACCACCCUUUAAUGUUUGAUGUUCUAACGUGGACCCGUGAUCCGGGUUGCGGACAGUGUCUGGUGGGUAGUUUGACUGGGGCGGUCUCCUCCUAAAGAGUAACGGAGGAGCACGAAGGUUGGCUAAUCCUGGUCGGACAUCAGGAGGUUAGUGCAAUGGCAUAAGCCAGCUUGACUGCGAGCGUGACGGCGCGAGCAGGUGCGAAAGCAGGUCAUAGUGAUCCGGUGGUUCUGAAUGGAAGGGCCAUCGCUCAACGGAUAAAAGGUACUCCGGGGAUAACAGGCUGAUACCGCCCAAGAGUUCAUAUCGACGGCGGUGUUUGGCACCUCGAUGUCGGCUCAUCACAUCCUGGGGCUGAAGUAGGUCCCAAGGGUAUGGCUGUUCGCCAUUUAAAGUGGUACGCGAGCUGGGUUUAGAACGUCGUGAGACAGUUCGGUCCCUAUCUGCCGUGGGCGCUGGAGAACUGAGGGGGGCUGCUCCUAGUACGAGAGGACCGGAGUGGACGCAUCACUGGUGUUCGGGUUGUCAUGCCAAUGGCACUGCCCGGUAGCUAAAUGCGGAAGAGAUAAGUGCUGAAAGCAUCUAAGCACGAAACUUGCCCCGAGAUGAGUUCUCCCUGACCCUUUAAGGGUCCUGAAGGAACGUUGAAGACGACGACGUUGAUAGGCCGGGUGUGUAAGCGCAGCGAUGCGUUGAGCUAACCGGUACUAAUGAACCGUGAGGCUUAACCUUACAACGCCGAAGGUGUUU